CGGGCGGGCCCUACCAUGCAGUCGAGCGGAUGAGGGAGCUUGCUCCUGGAUUCAGCGGCGGACGGGUGAGUAAUGCCUAGGAAUCUGCCUGGUAGUGGGGGAUAACGUCCGGAAACGGGCGCUAAUACCGCAUACGUCCUGAGGGAGAAAGUGGGGGAUCUUCGGACCUCACGCUAUCAGAUGAGCCUAGGUCGGAUUAGCUAGUUGGUGGGGUAAAGGCCUACCAAGGCGACGAUCCGUAACUGGUCUGAGAGGAUGAUCAGUCACACUGGAACUGAGACACGGUCCAGACUCCUACGGGAGGCAGCAGUGGGGAAUAUUGGACAAUGGGCGAAAGCCUGAUCCAGCCAUGCCGCGUGUGUGAAGAAGGUCUUCGGAUUGUAAAGCACUUUAAGUUGGGAGGAAGGGCAGUAAGUUAAUACCUUGCUGUUUUGACGUUACCAACAGAAUAAGCACCGGCUAACUUCGUGCCAGCAGCCGCGGUAAAUACGAAGGGUGCAAGCGUUAAUCGGAAUUACUGGGCGUAAAGCGCGCGUAGGUGGUUCAGCAAGUUGGGAUGUGAAAUUCCCCGGGCUCAACCUGGGAACUGCAUCCAAAACUACUGAAGCUAGAGUACGUAAAGGGUGGUGAAAUUUCCUUGUGUAGCGGUGAAAUGCGUAGAUAUAGAAGGACCACCAGUGGCGAAGGCGACCACCUGGACUGAUACUGACACUGAGUGCGCAAAGCGUGGGAACCAACAGGAAUAAGUACCCUGUAAUUCCACGCCGUAACCAAUGUCACUAACCGUUGGAUCCUUGAAAUCUUAGGG
Molecule: ribosomal RNA, 808 nt
Filed under: Pseudomonas aeruginosa
Lineage: Bacteria; Pseudomonadati; Pseudomonadota; Gammaproteobacteria; Pseudomonadales; Pseudomonadaceae
Description: bacterial SSU rRNA
Rfam family: Bacterial small subunit ribosomal RNA
Source: RNAcentral